This 1262-nucleotide unclassified non-coding RNA is filed under the name Hevea brasiliensis (rubber tree). The record is from RNAcentral. Lineage: Eukaryota; Viridiplantae; Streptophyta; Magnoliopsida; Malpighiales; Euphorbiaceae.
AGAGAGAGAGAGAGAGAAUCCAUUUCUUUGUUCAAUCUUUGAACUCAAACUCUCUUCAAGAACAACAUAAUGCCUUAAUGGGGUCCAAUAAUGAAGGAAUCCUAUAAGUAAACCUAUUUGAUCUUUUCCACACAAUUAAUAAGCUACAGAUUCAGAUCUAUCCGUAUAUAUGUGGGCAAAAUAGAAAACAUACAAAAUUCUCGACCAGAAACAGAAAGUUAAAAGGCAACAUUAUUUGCAAGAUAAAGAAAUUAUGGAAAUUAAAGUUAAUAAUGCUAGAAUCAUGGAUAGGAUACCAUUUCUUUGGGAAAUUUUCUGAAACCAAGAAAUGGGGAAUGGAAAAAGAAAGAAAGAAAAAAAAAGACAUAACUACUGUGAUUAACUUCACGAGAAAGAUACAUUAUAAAUUUAAAUAAUUAGUACCCUUUCAUUUGGUGUCAUUUUCUUGUCUAAUUUUCUUAAUCUUUCCACCAAGAUCCGCACGAAGAGCUGCAGGGAACAAAGAUUCAAUCUCAUUUGAUAGAUCAAGAAGGACUCUCCUGCGUUGAGAUUUUCUUUUAUUUGAUGGGAGAGAUUUAGGUUUUCUUGGUGCAGGUGGGCAUGGAAGGAUCACUGGGAUUUUUUGAUCCAAAGAUGUUGGAGUUUUGAACCCAUCAUCUAGAUCUUCUUCGAUCUUGAAUUCUCCUAGAGAUGGCAAUUUUAUCUUCAAAGUAGAAACCAACAACUUGCAUUUAUCUUCUUCUUUAUGUUCUUCUCGUUUUCUUUCUUCUUCAUCUUCUUCUACUUCUUCUUCUUCUUUUGAAUUCAGAUGAAGAUCAUCUUGAUCAUCCCCGUCUAGUAAAGGUGCAAUACGAUAUUCAUCUUCAAAUUCCAAAGCGGGUCUUACAAGGAAAUUGAAUUCCACGGAAUUCAGAUCUUUCUCUGAUAAAAACAUCUCAGGAUUCGACACACCCAUGAAUGAAACUGGUUUAAAUUGGGAAAACAUGAAGAGAGGGGGAAAAAAGGUUUCAAGAAACUGCAACCAACACCAAUCAAGAUACAAGACCCAGAAACCUAAAAGCAAGAGAUCCUGAGACUAGCAGGAUCAAGAAGACAAAUAUAUGAUGAAGAAAACAGACAAGAAGAGCUAGUAGAAGUGUAUAUGUAUUUAUAAAGAGAGAUAGCUAUUAGGCUAAACCAAGAGAGUUAUAGAGAAAAUGCAGAGUGUUUCUUUCUCUAAGCUUUGUUUGGAUUUUAGCCAUGGAAGUAUUGUUGAAGGGAGG